Molecule: non-coding RNA, 307 nt
Filed under: Chloroflexota bacterium
Lineage: Bacteria; Bacillati; Chloroflexota
Description: Chloroflexi bacterium T-box sequence
Rfam family: T-box leader
About the family: Uncharged tRNA acts as the effector for transcription antitermination of genes in the T-box leader family. T-boxes are found upstream of many aminoacyl-tRNA synthetase genes and some amino acid biosynthetic genes usually in Gram-positive bacteria.
Source: RNAcentral
AUAAAGACUGUGAAGAGGACGAGUAGGCGCCGAAAUUGGCGUUCCAGAGAGCGGGAACCGGUGCAAGCCCGUACGCACGCUGGCGUUGAAUGGACCUCGGAGUCGCAGGGCGAAAAGCUGAUUGCCGAUUAGCCUGUGCCGGAAUUGCCACCGUUAUCUGGGUAAAGGGUAUUCGCGAGCAAUCGCACGUACCCGCAACGAGUGAGGCUGGCCUCUUCCCCCCUGUCGCAACACCGGCAGGGGUUUUGUUUGGUAGGGCAGCCAGCCUAACCGGGGUGGCACCACGGACAGCGCGUUCGUCCCCAAU